CAUCUUAUAGAUUGGUGCAAAAGUAAUUGCGGUUUUUGCCAUUAAAGGCAGUAGCAAAAACCACAAUUACUUUUGCAUCAGCCUAAUA
RNAcentral lists this microRNA precursor (88 nucleotides) under Nomascus leucogenys (northern white-cheeked gibbon). RNAcentral's name for it is "miRNA (ENSNLEG00000034977.1)". The record is from RNAcentral. Lineage: Eukaryota; Metazoa; Chordata; Mammalia; Primates; Hylobatidae.